AAGGGAAAAGGAAAUUCUAAAAAGAAAGGCAAAUGAACUAAGGCAACGGAAACAAAGUUGCUGAAGAGAAAAUAACUAAAAAGCUAGAAUGUUGUAAAAAUUAAUUGUAGAGCGUAAGUGUAGAUGUCCCCCUUUUUUCCAACUUUGGUCCUUUAUAUAUUGCUCUGGUAGGUCUUGGCGGUUGAGAAAAUUAAGGGAGACUGGUUGAAUAAGGAAUCCACGGGGGAGUCAAGCUGUUGGAGAGAAUUUAGGCAC
This 255-nucleotide long non-coding RNA is filed under the name Lathyrus oleraceus (garden pea). RNAcentral's name for it is "Pisum sativum (pea) long non-coding RNA (PSAT_LNC021585)". The record is from RNAcentral. Lineage: Eukaryota; Viridiplantae; Streptophyta; Magnoliopsida; Fabales; Fabaceae.